This 400-nucleotide unclassified non-coding RNA is filed under the name uncultured fungus. RNAcentral describes it as "sequence contains ITS1". The record is from RNAcentral. Lineage: Eukaryota; Fungi.
GCUUUCGGGAAAUGCCUGGAAGCAUGCCUCUUUGAGUGUCGGUAACACCUCACAUUGGUGCUUUCCUUUCGUCUUGUUAUUUGUUUACGAAAAACAAAAAACAACAAACUAGAAAUGGAAAGAACACCAGAGAGUGAGUGCUCUUCCCCUUCUUUCAAAUGGGAAGUCACCCAAAGUGCUUUACAACGCUCCUCACUGUGCUUCGCGCGCAAGGAACAGAGAGAAACUGGGAGUAAGAGCGAGAUAGAACCUUAUCUGCACUUGUUCCCUUUCCUUCCUCUUCUUGCCGGCCAGUGUGGGUGGGAGUUGCAUCGCGGUUGUUUUAUUUUUUCUCGAUGCGUGAAAAAUAGAGCACCGCAAUAUAUUUUUUAAAAAAAAUAAGACCUCAAAUGAGGUAGGA